CAGAUUACUCAGAAAAGUGGUGAUCCCUCAAGAUACUCAUGGCUUUGGUGUCAUUGACCCUGCUCUGAGCAGGGAAUUGGAUCAGAUGAUCAGAGGUACCCUCCUGACUUAGCCGGUCUGCAAGUAGGUCAGCCACAACUUGUCUCCUGCAUAGGCUGAAGGCUAGAGCCAGCUAAUAAUGAAGGGCAGGGAAAAGGCAACGCUGGUUUAUUUGGAUAAAACCAGUUUGAUUUGUAUGAACCAGUUUUCACCCGGUGAUGUAUUUCAGCAUUAUUCAGCUGGCAUUAUUACAACGUUACCCUAUGUAUGUAUUUGCUUUGGAAGUCAGCCCUGUUGUGUAGGCUUAUUAUCUGACUUGUUAUAGUUUUGAGAGAUAAUCUUUUAAGCAGUUGCAUUGGGAGUUUAAGUAGAGUGACUGUUUUUCAAAUUGCUGAUUGCAUUAGUCUAAUACCCUGUUUUUCAGAGGGAAUUAUGACACCAGGUGCUUCAAAGCAGCCCAAAAGGCAAGAUAACAUGCUUCCAAAGAGACAACAGUUAAACUGUAGUUAGCAAAACCUGAAAAAUGGGUUCUUUAAAUUUUCGUGAAUGGAAAGCAUUGGUUUGGGAGUCAUUUCUUUCUGUCUUGUCGCGCUUUUUCUUUAAAUCCAUGGGCUGCUGAUCUGGGUGUUCCCUCCUCUAACAUUCAUUUCUGCUGGAGGGAUCUCCCACAUCAUUGCUUUUCAGUUCUGAAGGGAUGGAGCUCUAACUUCCUCAUCCCCUAAUAUACUUCCUGGGUCUUGUGCAACUAGAAAAGAGCUUGCAGACAGGAUGGUAUUGGUGUUCAGCUGUCACUGCCUAAACAAGCGUUUUCCCUCCCACCUCUAAAGCCAUUACAGUUGUCUUCCAUUUGUUUUGGCAACAGGAUGGGUUAGUCAGCGUACUCAACAAGCACCCACAUUUCCUAUGCUAUUUCAUGAACAGCUUCAGGAGUUUUGAGUGAUUCACUUAAGCUACUUCUAUGCUAAGCUUUCUGAUAACACCAGUCCUAUCUGUCUUUCUUGCGUAUGUUGUCUUGCAGGUGAACACAUUACUGAAAACCUGCCAUAGAGCUUACUGUUUGAUAGAGAGGAACUCAGGAUUCAGGAAUUGUUUGUCAUUGCAUUUUAUGAGCACAGACAUCCCUUCUGUAUUACUAUUCUCUGUCCAACAACAGGAGUCAGUUUACAGUUGAGAGUAUACAUAACACAGAUGUUAAUGCCCUCCCCUGCAUGAUGUUUCAGCAUCAACAUCACUUUCUUCCACAAAUACUAAAGCCAAGUGCUGCCCCGUUAUGAAGGAAGAUUACUUGAAAAACUGUAAAUGGCUUCAAUCUUUAUCUGCUUAUAACUAGAAUCUAAUAAGUCUUCUGUGGACAGCAUUUUCUGGAAAUGAAUGUGCCAGAGCUGCUUGCCAACCUUGAUUGAUUUUUUUAGGAAGAAUUGAUUCUUCAUAUGUACAAUUCUGAAGAACUCUUCAGCAGAAGAAACAGCUUUAACAAGAAGAAAAGCUUCUAGAGCUCUCGCAGAACAAAUACUGGAGGCAUCAGAUAAAGUUUGAUUUCUGAGAAAUAAGGAAAAAAGAGAAGCUUCUGCCUCUUGCAACAGCUGCUGUUUGUUGCUCUCCCCAGGCAAGAGAUGUUGUCCAGCAAAGAGGGAUUUGUUUUCAGCAGUCCAGUAUGUGAACAUCAGAUCUUGCAGGAUUAGCUCCAGUCAGAGCCAGUGUCAUUACAGAGGAUACGUCUGGAAAAGGUCACAAAACUCAAACAGAAGAACUGUCAACCGGAACCAGUAUUAUCUGGAUAUAACUGUAUCCAGUAUUACAUUAAAGAUGAACUUUGCUGUUCUGCCACAGUCCCUCACCCAAUGCGUGUGCUUUUCUCCUGAUUAUUGCUCAUCCAUUUGGCAAUAUGAGACUCCGUUGCUCUUUAUUCCUGAGUUAGGAAACGCCCUGGUGGCACUCCUACGUGGUCAAUAAAUGAGUUACCACCAGUGGCAUUUAAUUAUUUACAGCUACGCACAAAACAGGUUUCAACAAUACAGCCGUGAUUCUGGAUGGAAGGUAAAGCUUUUCCUUAGGAAAUUACUCAUCCCAGCAGGGUGGGAGUGGACGUUUUUCACUGAUACCAGCCCUUCUGUUGCUGUUAGUCUUUUAACGGGUAAAGAAAGUCACAAAGUCUCUUCAGUGCCCCAUGGACAGUGUAUGUACCAAAAGGAGGUGUGGUUUUUUAACUGUGAAGGAUAACCACUACCACUAAAAAGUUAAUCACAAUGGCCUCAAUACAGUAUUUCACCUAAAUAACGGCACAAAGUGUGUUGCUGGAGAGAAGGCGACGCUCACAAGGUGAACAUUUGUACCAAGAACUGUUACAGACCUGAAAGUUAUAAUUGGAAAAAAAUUGCUAUCAAAUAACCUCGACAAGGAACCAUCAAAUAUCUGGGGAACCUCCUUGGCCAAAGCAAGAUGUAUUCAACUAGGACUAGAGCUGAAAGGCAAUCAACUAGGAAAACAACAUAGAACAUUUAAAGGACACAUGGUGCCACGUUUGUUGCUGUUUUACCAGAGAUGAUAAUGCUUCCUUCAAGCAGCAAUGGCUUGAGCUUCUUGAAAGGGCUACAGGAUCAAGUCAGGCAGCCUGCUUCUCAAUCUCAUUAAAAAGUAGUAGUAAAGCCUGAGGUCCAUGGAGUACCACAUGUGGAUGUGGACCCUGGGCGGAGUCACACUAGGCAUUCUCCAGUGCAUGGGAUAGUCUGCAAAGAGAGUAAUUUACGUUGUCAAAACCAACUUCAUCUUUGCUAAGUCAUUGGAACUAACUGAAUAGCCUUAAAUUUAAAGAAGAAAAAUUCCAGGUGAAAAAUAAUCCUCAAUGCCAGGGAUAGGGAAGGCUGGUUCAGGAUACAUGAGAACAAACCAGCAGAGAACCCUUGAGCGGUUGUGCUGAUUAUUCAUUGAGCUGUGACUUGUGACUUAGACUUAGGGCAGGGAAGCCCUGCUGUAACCUACUGGCUGCACGUCCAAGCAUGAGGCACAGGGCCAUAGUAUGUGGCCAUUAAAUGCUUCCCAAAGAUGCCACACGUCCCUUUUCAGCCGAGCAGCUGGACAUCAACAGUUUUGUGCACACUGCUACUACUCCCAGACUUCGUAACCAAUGCCAAAAUUCAGUACCAGUUAUACAACAUACUGACAAGCUGUACCAGGCUGGAACCAGAAUACCACCUUCAAAUCUAUGAUAACAUCCCUCACCUAGCAAAUUUUUCCUGAAAUAUUCUGUAUUUUUCCUAAAAAGAAAAGAAAAACCACGUCUGCAUGUCCAUGCUUAAACUUUUUUCCUAAAACACUUCCAAAAAGAUGAAGAUUUUAGUCAAAGAUCAAGUAGCACCUGUGUUCCAUACCCUUCAUUCAGAAGCUUCUUGCUUCCACAGUAGGAACAGAACUGUAUCUACCUUUUUUAAAAAGCAAACCUAGAAAGGCAGCCCUCACUAACUUCAGCAAGAUCACUAGUUUUGGAAUAAAGGACACAAUUUGUCAGAGUAUUCAAAAUGGAACCUGCAAAAUCAGCAAAUACUUGCAUUCAAGGGCUUAACUCUUGCCUAACUAGAAAAAAAAAUAAUCUGCAGAGUGAAGGUUUUGAUUUUUUUUUUCCUUUAAAUUAAAGCAUUACUGUUUUCUAGAGAGAAAAUAUUUCGUAAAAUAAAGUGGCACUCCUCCAAGAGGCUUUUAUGGGUCUGGCCUGAUUUUUAAUGUCAAACUAGAACAUGUCACAAUCACAGACCGUCAAUCUAAAAACUAACAUAUCCCCUUCUCCAACAACUUUACAAGGUUUCCACAAAACAUCAGAUAAGUCACUUUAUAUAUAACAUCUGCAUACAGCUGUUAGGUGAAAUCAGUUCUGCCAGUCACCUCCUUCCUAAAAGUGUAUUUACAAUCACAAAGGGUGCAGUUAAAGAACACACUUACCCAGCACUAUGGAUCAUUGUGAUUGAUCAGAAGCAAAAGCACUUAAUUGCUGGAAUACUCACCAGAUCACAAAACAAAUCUCUAAGCACCACAGGUUUAAGACAAGGUGCAGUACUAUCAAAACCAAGCAGUUCUUAUGAUAAAUCAACUAGGUUUAUGCAGUUAUUUCAGAUACUCCUCAUGAGAUCAGGAAAAACCAGCAAAAUAGCAGACACUCAGUUGUUAGACCUAGUGAUUUUUGGCUUUGUGUGUUCUCCAUUAGCAUGUAUUUUACAGGUACUUUAACAUUUUAUCAUUUUUAAGCUUUGAAACUUUUGUUAAAACAUUAAGUUUCAACUGCAAUAAUUUCUAAAGUUAAUGAAAUGCUUGAUUAAAAUACAAACCUAUCUUAAAAUUUUUUAUAAGUUCAAUUUAGCAAAAGGAAUGCAAAGCUAAAUCCUUACCUAUGUUUGCUGACAAAAGCCCAAACCUGAAGUUGCAGUAGUUUUGUUAGACCAGAAUGUGUUUAAUGACUGAAACUGUACGUGAACAAAACACAGCUGAGGAACAGCUACAUAGCUUUCAAGUUUUAGAUUAUGGUGAGUUGAUGCAAUCAAGGUAAUUGAGAAGACACACUAAAGAAAUCGCCUGCAAACUGAUUUAUGCAUUUCAAAUUCUCCACCCUCUCCCAGAGCAGUGCCUUUCUGCAAGAGGUUACAGCAGAAGCUGGACCUUUGUAAUCCAGAUACUCGCUAUAAUCGAGGAUGAGCAGGAAUGCCUGCAGUGAAGGCUCCAAAUCAGAAGUGACAAUCUGCCGGAGCAGGGAAAGUUAUUCCUUUAAUAACAGCUUUCCGUUCCAAAGUAAGAGAAAAGUGAUGAGCCCAGUGUCACACUCUGAACAUCCUACUUCCUGUUUCUACACCAGGGGCUUCAUAGAAUAUCCAUCAUCUAAAUGGGACUCCCACUUAUAAAAGCUGUCUAUGUUCACAGGGACAGGAUUUUCACCCCAGUUCCAUGUUCAGCAACUGCCUCAUGAGAAUCGUAUCAAUCACCAAAAGAAAUCCCCAAGAGCCCUGAAACAAAUUUGCUAUCGCUAAGGGCUCUAGUGAAAGAUCAGAAACAACGGGGCUAUGAAAGCAAAAAGGCUGUAUUUUUGAAAUGUUUCCUACUACAUAGAAGAACAAAUGCAGGAUGUGAUGUUUGCUUAGUUUUAUUAAUUUAUUUUUGCAGGAAUCUGCAACUCGGAGUAUGCACUUUCUGGAGGUACCAUGCAUGCAUAGCCUCUGAAUGCUUUUAUACAAUUUCAUCUCUUAGUAAUAAGUUCAUUCACAGCAUACACAAAUCUAGAAUGUAGACACCAUAUAUACAGGAUUAAACGAGAUCGUGUCUUUUUUUUUUUAAUGAAAAAAUUUAACAGGGUUUCACAUAGCAGGAAAUAUGGAUUAGAUACACUGGUGUCACCAUAAAUAAAUAAGUUUCAAGAACACAGGUUUUUUUCAAAAUUGGUUUCAAAGGUACUGAAAAUCCAGGAUUAUAAUAUUGCAUUAACUCCACUGAUUUCUGAUUAUUCAAACCCAAGAAAAAUAUUUGCAUUAAUAUUGAUGGACAUAAACAGCAGUGAAAGCCCCAAACUGAAGAAGUCUGGCAGAAUUCAGUCAUGUCUAGCUUCAUAUAAUAUUGACGUUUUGAAACGAAACAAAUGCAGCAGCACAUAGAGACAGUACUGACUAUGAGAUGUGACAUCUGUGCACGUCAUCUUUCUUUACGGGAUUUAGAGUCACUGUAGUACAGAGCAUGUAAAUUCUGUGGUACCAAACAAGCUGAUGAAUUGUUUAUGUCCAACUGUCCACUUCUCAUCAGGAUAGUCAUUUUCACAUUCUAGGGUAUACCACUGAAUUUUAAAACUAAAACUAUCAUCCUGAUGACAAGCUUGUUUUCAACUUAUUUAAUAUUCUCACAUUCUUUUUUAAAACAUUCUUUAUUGGUUUUGUUUUGUCCCCAUUUCAACUCAAGUAUUUUUAUUUCAGUUUCAAGGGGUUUUACAAUCAAUAUUAAAUGUAAAAGUACUUAGAAAUUGAAAUGAGAGAUGUAUAACUGGGAUAAAGUAACUGAAAGAAAAGUUGUUGGUUUUUUAAAAUGUGAUUUAGUAGCAUAUCAUAAUCAGAAAGUACUGAGACCAGCUCUUUUAAGAAUUAUUACACCUUUUCACCACACUUCCCAUUUUUCAAGGGAAACACACACAUACCACAGACACACAGAUACACAAUUCAAUCUGAUCUAAGACUACAUUUUACAAAGGACUUCCUUUUGCUUGACUUCCCACCCCUUUCCUCCUCUUCACCCAUAAAAAGACUAACAAUUACAUCAAAUUAAAAGCAGAUCCAAAGUUCAGGAUUUCUUUUGGUUUACUAUAUUCUGAAUCAUUUUCCACAAGCCCCACUCUAAAUAAACUUUUAAAGAACUACAGUAGUAUUCUAUAAUUAAAAGGGAACUAUUCUUAAUAGCACAGUAAAUAUAAAAUAAGCUUUAUAAAAUUUCCAGGAACAGUGAAAUCAUUUUGAAUAUCUGAAUGUCCAAGUCAGUUACAAACUCUAUCAAUCUAGUAGCAUGGUUGAGGGAAAGCUCAGUCAUUAAGGAAAAAAAGAAAACACAAGUAGUGCAUUAACUCAACACAAUGGCAUCGGCAUCCCACCAUUCACACACACACACACACACACACACAUUUUAUACAAUACAGUGCAUUUCGUAUGCCAGCUGACAUUAGGGUUUUAUGUGCAUUCAAUAAAUAUUAUAUAAACCAAUCUUUUUGGUAUAAUCUACAAUUCAGUUGGGGUGUGUACGGCGCCACUGGCUUUCAGAAGGAAAAUGGAUCUUCUGAUAUUCAAAAUACAAUUUACAUUCUAAUAAACUAGAAAUAUUCAAGCACCAUGUUAAGUCUUUACUAUUAAUGUUUGAGGAUGGGCAUUUACAAGUAAAAGAAUACAAUGGAAGGAUUCGUUGGGGUUUUUUGUACAAGCAACAAAUGAGAGCAAUUGAAAAACUGGAGUAAAAUUAUUGGUAUGAAGGAAUUAAUUUGAAAUUUAACUGCACUCACUCAGUCUUCCAAAAAGUAUCUUGCUGUCAUGGCAGCCUUCCUUCUCUUCCUCUGGUGAAACUACAACUAAGAUACCCCAAGUCUCCAUUUAUGGUUAUUACAGUUCAGGGAAUUAUUGGACUGCAUGUAUUCCUCCCCUACCCCCCUUCAAAAGUAGCAUUUAUUCUGUCUGAAAAUGGCACGACUGUACUGAUGCAUGACACACCUAUUCUCAUUUGCUGUCAUUUCUGUUGCUAUCAUUUCGUGUUUCCAGCAAAAACAAAUGCUUCUAGAACUUCAGCAGAAGUACAAAUGAACAGAAAAUUGAAAUAAUACAAAGGCAAAGGCAUCACAAUAGAAAAGUCAUGAAGUUACUGGUAUUGUUUUGAGUAAUUCAUUAUACAGCUGAUAACAGCAAUGGCACUGCUUAUCCUAGGUGUAAUGCUUCUGCUCAUCUGUUUUCUAUUUAUCUCAGUUUUGUCAGUCUGUCCACCUACAUGACCAAAAUUAAUAUUUGCUUUCUAACUUCAGUUGACACUGAUUUUUUUUACCCCUUUCCACACGUGACGAGCUCCCCACAUAGUAAUAUAAAUCAUUAAGGAAGGAAGGAAAACUAGCUCUGAUGCCUUUGACUUUGUUUUGCUCAUCAGUGGUGCACAUUGAUUGCUGGAGUUCUCUUAGCUUAUUUAAGAUUAUGCUGAAGAUUUAAUUAGUGCAAGAACAUAUUGAAAACAUGCUAGAUUAAAAUAUUGGUUCCUCAUCUAAGAUCACAGUUUGGUUUUCACUGUUAUCGUUAUAAAUUGCAGGGAGAGAAGACACCAGAUUGAGUGGUGCAGUCAAGAUGAGCUUUCCUCCACCCACCCCUUACAACAGCUGCUUUAUUUUAAAAAAGGAUUCAGACACAUGAUUGUUCUACCACAGCUUAACACGUUAUCACACAUCAAGAGAAUUGUGAUAACUGACCAUAUGGAUGUGGCUGCCACGAGCUAAGAACAAUUUAAAAUGAAGUAGUCUUCUGCUAAAUUUUAGCCAGCACAUUUUGCCUCACAGUUGCAAAGUCAAUUACCAUGAUUCAGCUGACGUGCUUGGUUGCAUCUGUUGACAAAGAAUCAGAUGCAAAAACCUCAAAUGCACUGUACCAGCUUCUCACCAGUACACAAGAACAUUCUACUCAGUCGCACAGUUGUGUAACAUAAUCAUUCAGCUGCCCAAACCCAAGUUCGAUUUCACAAGUAUUGAGUGCUUUAUUACAGCAACCUGAAGCAUUCAAACAAAUUGAACAUCACUUUUAUAAUACAGUAUAUUGUAUGCAUGAAAGUACCAGUGUGAUUUUCAGUUGCAAGUCUUGUGUUCUUCAACCUACAGCAAGUAUUUCCUGACCAAAAUAAAAAGAAUGCGGUGUGUAAUUUUUCAGGAUCUGGCAUCUGCUAUUUUUUACAGGCUGGUUUAUUAACAAUGUGCAAAUAAACCUUUACUGAAGAGCUAAUUGAUUAAUUAUUUUUCAGCUAACUUUGAAGUGGGGCACAAAGUACCUUCUGUGCUGUAAACAUCAUGAAUUCUUCACAAAUUGGAAGCUGAAAAGGCCUAAGGAACUGGGUAAAACUCUUCUCAUACACAACCAUGGCUGAGCUCAAGUCUUCCAAACUGAAUUUGGAGUAGUCUGUGUUUGGCAUAUGUAGCUGUGCUGCUACACAGCACAGGCUUAGAAGAUUGUUGUAUAUAAAAGCAUACUUUUAGCUUUGAAACACAAUGGCCUAAUGAAAGCAUGCAGCAGUAUUUUUGUCCGUAAUAUGGUAGAAUUCAUUCUUAGUUUAUUACCAGUGUUGACACAGCCAGGUGAGCACUGUACAAGCAAAAGGGAUUGUAAAAAAUUACCUCUGAUUAAACUCUCUGUAACACUCAUACGGUAUCUCAUUUAGUCACCUUAGGUUACUAUUUCAAACAGCAAUUUUUUUUGUAGACAUAAGUUACCCUGAAAAAAAGCAGCAAUUACAAAUACCCUUCUCCUUGGUUUUUAUACAUUGUAAAAUUUAGCAUUGCAUUUACCUGUCUCCUUUUUUCAGUAGCUUACAAUCUAGAAGCACAGGGAGCCUUUGUUUUCCAGCUAGCUGUGGCCAGGUUAAGUCAGCUCUGGCUCUUCAGUUUCUGGUUAAGUGUAACGUUUCACACCAUUACUAAGAAUCCUAUAAUUUUUCAUAUAUAUAUAAAAAAAAAAAG
This is a long non-coding RNA of Strigops habroptila (Kakapo), 9241 nucleotides long. RefSeq lists it as uncharacterized. Lineage: Eukaryota; Metazoa; Chordata; Aves; Psittaciformes; Psittacidae. The record is from RefSeq and is a predicted model, not a curated record. The transcript has 6 exons.